ACGGAAGGCAGCAGUGAGGAAUAUUGGUCAAUGGACGCAAGUCUGAACCAGCCAUGCCGCGUGCAGGAAUAAGGCCCUAUGGGUCGUAAACUGCUUUUGUGGUGGAGCAAUAAGUCGUACGUGUACGGCGAUGAGAGUACAUCACGAAUAAGCAUCGGCUAACUCCGUGCCAGCAGCCGCGGUAAUACGGAGGAUGCAAGCGUUAUCCGGAUUUAUUGGGUUUAAAGGGUGCGUAGGCUGUGGUCCAAGUCAGGGGUGAAAGCCCGGAGCUCAACUCCGGAACUGCCUUUGAUACUGGAUUGCUGGAAUACGGAUGCCGUGGGAGGAAUGAGUAGUGUAGCGGUGAAAUGCAUAGAUAUUACUCAGAACACCGAUUGCGAAGGCAUCUAACGAAUCCGUCAUUGACGCUGAGGCACGAAAGCGUGGGGAUCAAACAGGAUUAGAUACCCUGGUA
This 454-nucleotide ribosomal RNA is filed under the name uncultured Rikenellaceae bacterium. Its description in RNAcentral is "partial 16S ribosomal RNA". It matches the Rfam family "Bacterial small subunit ribosomal RNA", at positions 341 to 792 of the family's 1533-position model. Lineage: Bacteria; Pseudomonadati; Bacteroidota; Bacteroidia; Bacteroidales; Rikenellaceae. The record is from RNAcentral.